Molecule: ribosomal RNA, 444 nt
Filed under: uncultured Bacteroidota bacterium
Lineage: Bacteria; Pseudomonadati; Bacteroidota
Description: bacterial SSU rRNA
Rfam family: Bacterial small subunit ribosomal RNA
Source: RNAcentral
GGGCCCGCACAAGCGGAGGAACAUGUGGUUUAAUUCGAUGAUACGCGAGGAACCUUACCCGGGCUUGAAAUGUACUUGAUCGGCCAAGAGAUUGGCUUUCCAGCAAUGGCAAGUAUGUUAGGUGCUGCAUGGUUGUCGUCAGCUCGUGCCGUGAGGUGUCGGCUUAAGUGCCAUAACGAGCGCAACCCUUAUCAUUAGUUGCUAACAGGUCAUGCUGAGGACUCUAGUGAGACUGCCACCGUAAGGUGUGAGGAAGGUGGGGAUGACGUCAAAUCAGCACGGCCCUUACGUCCGGGGCGACACACGUGUUACAAUGGGGGGUACAACGGGCAGCUACCUAGCGAUAGGAUGCUAAUCUCUAAAAACCUCUCUCAGUUCGGAUUGGAGUCUGCAACUCGACUCCAUGAAGCUGGAUUCGCUAGUAAUCGCGCAUCAGCCAUGGCG